This 450-nucleotide ribosomal RNA is filed under the name uncultured bacterium. RNAcentral describes it as "bacterial SSU rRNA". It matches the Rfam family "Bacterial small subunit ribosomal RNA", at positions 329 to 793 of the family's 1533-position model. The record is from RNAcentral.
CCCCAGACUCCUACGGGAGGCAGCAGUGGGGAAUAUUGGACAAUGGGGGGAACCCUGAUCCAGCGACGCCGCGUGAGUGAAGAAGUAUUUCGGUAUGUAAAGCUCUAUCAGCAGGGAAGAAGGAAAUGACGGUACCUGACUAAGAAGCCCCGGCUAACUACGUGCCAGCAGCCGCGGUAAUACGUAGGGGGCAAGCGUUAUCCGGAUUUACUGGGUGUAAAGGGAGCGUAGACGGCUGUGCAAGUCUGAAGUGAAAGCCCAGGGCUCAACCCUGGGACUGCUUUGGAAACUGUGGAGCUAGAGUGCUGGAGAGGUAAGUGGAAUUCCUAGUGUAGCGGUGAAGUGCGUAGAUAUUAGGAGGAACACCAGUGGCGAAGGCGGCUUACUGGACCAUGACUGACGUUGAGGCUCGAAAGCGUGGGGAGCGAACAGGAUUAGAUACCCCGGUAC